GCGUAAAGGGUAUGUAGGCUGUGGAAAAAAGAAAAAAAUUAAAUAUUUGGUAUCCAUCAUCUAUGUUUUUUUACUAUUUCACUUGAAUUUAGAUAGGCCGCAGGAAGUCAUUAUGGAACGGUAAUGUGUAGAUAUGAUGACGACCGACAGAGGUGAAGACAUGUUGCCAUUAAGUAUUGACGUAAGAUACGAAGGUAUGGGGAUAAAGAGGAUUAGAGACCUCGUAGUCCAUACUGUAACGCUGAACGUUCAAUGUAGGAGUUAAUUCAGAUGAUUUUAAUCAUUUUUCAUGGAGAUUCCUGGUGUUCAGCUAACGCGAUAAACGUUCCGCUGG
RNAcentral lists this ribosomal RNA (334 nucleotides) under Calomyxa metallica. RNAcentral's name for it is "partial small subunit ribosomal RNA". It matches the Rfam family "Bacterial small subunit ribosomal RNA", at positions 558 to 872 of the family's 1533-position model. Lineage: Eukaryota; Evosea; Eumycetozoa; Trichiida; Dianemataceae. The record is from RNAcentral.